Coffea arabica (coffee) is the source of this 4381-nucleotide RNA transcript. It is a transcript of the gene named probable ubiquitin-conjugating enzyme E2 23, with no coding region annotated. NCBI's taxonomy places the organism in Eukaryota, Viridiplantae, Streptophyta, Magnoliopsida, Gentianales, Rubiaceae. The record is from RefSeq and is a predicted model, not a curated record.
AAAAAAAAAAAACGAAACGAUUACAAAGUAAAACAUAGGAGGAGGUGGAGUGGUGGGUAAAUAAUAAUAAUGAGGUAGUAUUCAUUUUUCCAGGAUCAGUUCUUCUUGUUGCCUACAAAACACCCCUCUCCUCUCAGCCCUUCCCAAAUUCACCGAUUUUCUGAGAUGGAUACUGGGCCGGGGCAGCACAAUGUUGCUUCCAAAGAUGUUGUACCAGUAACCACCGCAAAUAAAAAUGCGGAUUUGAAGGAAGAUGAUUCACCUGUAAAUGGACUUUAUUAUAACCAAAAUGUGAUACCUGCAAAUAAACCAGGAGAUAUUCUCAAGAAUUUACAGAAUGUAUCCUAUGUAUACAGACAAGAUGUUGUAAGAAGCAGUAUCAAUAGUAAGCUUGGAAUUGUCACUGAAGUUGCUGGUGACUCUGAUUCCGAUGGAAGCUUAACUGAUGACGAUGAUGAUGAUGAUGAUGAUGAGGUAGAUGACGAUGAUGGUGACGAUGACGAUGCUGAAGUGGAUAACUCUCAAAAAGUUAACCAGACUAAAGAUUCUGAUAGUCAAAAGAAUCAUAACCUCCCAGCUGAUCAAGUUAGGGUGCUCUGGAUAGAUGAAUCUGAGACGACAGAAAGUAUAAAUAAUGUGAAAGUUGUUGAUCGGGGAUUUCUGCAUGGGGAUUAUGUUGCUGCUGCUUCAGACCCAACGGGUCAAGUGGGUGUCGUGGUAGAUGUCGAUAUUUCUGUUGAUUUAUUAACUCAUGAUGGCUCUAUCAUUGAAAAUAUUUCUGCCAGGGACUUGAAACGUGUCAGGGAUUUCACAAUCGGUGACUAUGUAGUUCUUGGUCCCUGGUUAGGUAGAAUUGAUGAUGUCUUGGAUAAUGUCACGGUUCUUUUUGAUGAUGGCUCCGUAUGCAAAGUUAUGAAAGCUGACCCACUUCGUCUUAAACCUGUUGGCAAGAAUAUUCUUGAAGAUGGGCACUUUCCUUACUAUCCUGGGCAGCGUGUCAAGGCAAACUCUUCGUCAGUCUUUAAGAACUCAAGAUGGAUUUCUGGCUUAUGGAAAGCUAACCGUCUAGAGGGUACAGUGACUAAAGUUACAGUAGGUUCUGUAUUCAUAUAUUGGAUUGCUUCUGCUGGUUAUGGACCUGACUCUUCUACAACGCCAGCAGAAGAGCAAAGUCCCAAAAAUUUAAAACUUUUGUCUUGUUUUUCACAUGCAAACUGGCAAUUGGGUGAUUGGUGCCUUCUUCCUUCACCUGUGCUAUUGUCCAGCAUUCCUCUGGACAAGGGAUUAUCAAAACUAGAACUUUGUGAUUCUGUCAAAGAGGAAUCAGAAUCUGCUCAAACAGGAGCAGAAUGUUCUGAAGUUGUCACUUCGGAGGAAUCAAAUGGGAACGGUGAAUUAAUAGUACUUGAUGCAGAGGUUUCACUGGAAGCAAAUAAUGGGAAGGCUGAAGCUAAAGCUCCUGCAGAAUCUAGUUCAUGUUCUAGUUCAUUGUCUAUUUCCAAGGAGUCAGUCCAUGAAUCUUGGCCCUUACAUCGUAAGAAGAUCCGUAAAGUUAUAGUCAGGAGGGACAAAAAAGCAAGGAAAAAAGAGGACAAUUUUGAAAGAGCCCUGUUGAUCGUUAAUACUAGGACUAGUGUUGAUGUAGCCUGGCAGGAUGGAACAAUAAAAAGAGGUAUAAAUUCCACGAGUUUGAUUCCUAUUGAGAGUCCAGGAGAUCAUGAAUUUGUUGCAGAACAGUAUAUAGUUGAGAAAGCUGCCGAUGACGGUUAUGAUACUGGUGAAACUAGACGUGUCGGGGUUGUGAAAAGUGUUAAUGCAAAGGAGAAGACAGCUCAUGUGAGGUGGUUAAAGCAAGUUACUAGGGCUGAGGAUCCCAGAGAAUUUGAUAGAGAAGAAGUAGUAAGCGUUUAUGAGUUGGAGGGCCAUCCUGACUAUGAUUACUGCUAUGGAGAUGUUGUUGUUCGAUUAUCACCUGUUUCUCUUCCAGUAGAAAUUCUAUCCACUACUAACUCUGCUGAAGAGUCUGAGCUGCUGCAUGGUACAUAUGAGGAAGAGCAAGAUGCAGAACAACACAUUGGAUGUAAGAAGGUUGAGGAUGAAUCAACUGAUGAAGUUUGUACUGAAUUCUCAGAUCUCUCCUGGGUUGGGAAUAUUACUGGACUCAGGAAUGGUGACAUUGAGGUUACAUGGGCUGAUGGAAUGGUCUCAAUGGUUGGUCCUCAAGCAAUAUAUGUUGUUGGUCGCGAUGAUGAUGAGUCAAUUACAGGUGGAAGUGAAAUUAGUGAUGAUGCAGCCAGCUGGGAAACCGUUGAGGAUGAUGAGAUGGAUACUAUUGAGAAUGCUGACGAGGGUGUUAAAAAUCGAAGUGCCACUGACAUUAGAAUUGACAAUGAAGAUGGCUCUGAUAGUUCUGGAAGAAAUGGGGCUCUUUCCAUUCCCCUGGCUGCACUUGGGUUUGUGACCAGGUUGGCCUCUGGCAUAUUUUCAAGGGGGCGAAAACACACUGAUCCAGAUUCCAGGAGUGAUGAUGAACUUCAGCUGCGGGAAUUGGCUGUCAAAAUAGAUACUGAUGAUGAGUCAUGUUCCCAGAGAUCUAAUGGUGGUGAUAGCAUUGGAAGUCUGAGCACUAAAGUGAAGGCAGAGGAACAAGAUGACAAAGAGGUUGCAGAUUUAUUGGAUGCGGCUGAAGCUCUUUGUAACUUGAAGCCAGAAGCAAAUGUCCCAACUUAUCAUGAUGAUCGAGCGUCUAGUUUCAAAGGAUUUGAUAUCACCAAAGAUCCUUACGAUCAUUAUUUUCGUGGUACAAAUGAACAGAAUAAUGCGAGUAGGAAGUGGCUCAGGAAGGUUCAACAAGAUUGGAAUAUUUUGCAGAAUAACCUUCCUGAGGGGAUCUUUGUACGUGUUUAUGAAGAUCGAAUGGAUCUAUUGAGGGCUGUCAUAGUUGGAGCGUAUGGAACACCUUACCAAGAUGGCCUUUUCUUCUUUGACUUUCACCUCCCACUAGAGUACCCUGAUGUCCCACCAUCUGCCUAUUAUCAUUCUGGAGGGUGGCGAAUAAAUCCGAAUCUGUAUGAGGAAGGCAAAGUUUGCUUGAGCCUUUUGAAUACUUGGACAGGCAGAGGAAAUGAGGUGUGGGAUCCUUCAUCAUCGAGCAUUCUUCAAGUCCUAGUUUCGCUUCAAGGGCUAGUGCUAAAUUCCAAGCCAUAUUUCAAUGAAGCUGGAUAUGACAAACAAAUUGGGACAGCUGAGGGAGAGAAAAAUUCUUUGUCGUACAAUGAGAAUACAUUCUUACUCAACUGCAAGACAAUGAUGUAUCUCAUACGGAAACCUCCCAAGGACUUUGAAGAGCUUGUCCAACAGCACUUUAGAAGACGUGGUUACUGCAUCCUCAAAGCCUGUGAUACUUAUAUGAAGGGAUAUCUUAUUGGUUCACUCACAAAAGAUGCUUCCAUUAGCAGUAAUACCCAUGCUAAUUCAAAUUCCAUUGGCUUUAAACUGAUGCUGGCAAAGAUUGUGCCAAAACUUUACAUAUCGUUAAGUGAAAUUGGAGCCAACUGUCAGGAGUUUAAGCACCUGCAAUAACCUUGGAAGUCUUGCAGGGCCAGCUGUACAUCUUCUUCAUCCAAAUCCAAUAAGUUUUGUUAGAGAUCCAGAAAUGAGGGUGGGCUCUAAACUGACUCGCAACUUAAGUAAGAUACUUUUCUGCUGAAGAAGAUUUCCGUUCCUGAGAUGCUCAUUGUCGUUUGCCAACUUGUUCUGCAAUUUAGAUAAUGCAGUGGAAUCCAUCCUAACGACCCAAAGACGGAUGGGGAAAGCUUGGUAGCUUGCGCUUGGGACCCCGGAUUAAAAUAGAAGACAAUGCAAGCUAAUCAUUAGAGGUGGAGUUGUUCUAAUUACAAAAAGCUAGUGACCGGAUUUGUACCCAGAAAUAGCAUCUCUGUUUAAGAGUGAUUUGAUGAUCACCCUGCCCCAAGCUCAUCAUGACACCUUUCAUGAAUGCAAUCUGAAGGAAAUACACGGUAUGCUGCAAUUAGUGCUGUGUCAAGUAAGCAGGAGAUAACAUCCCUUUAAACUCAAAGCUACAGUGGUUUAAUAUGAUUCCCUAUUAGUUAGUUACCCUGUUGGUCCCAGGAAAAGAAAGCUGUACAUUAGAUCAGUGACAGCUCCACUUAAACUGUAUGGCGAGGUGUUUGAGACUUUCCGAGUAUCGUUACUAUUAGUAGAUUAUUUGGGAUAAUUUUUUGAAACGAAUACUGAUUGAAAAAUGUGUUAAUGAUGCAAACAAAAUCCAAACGAGGAUUGAGGUUAACAAUUUGUCAUGAAAGAUGAAGCAAUAUAGAUUUGAGUAAAUCUUAUAUGCACUACAGUGUCUAUAUUAUCA